CUGAGAACAUCGAGGUGCCACCACCAAAGGCUGUGGAGUCGGAGGAAGUCACCACCGUCUCCGAGUCUCUUCCAGCUCCGGUAACAGAAUCUCAAGCGCCUGUCGAAGUAACAACUAAAGAUUUGGUCGUGGAAGAGACAGAGAAACCAAUCGAAGAAACAGAGGAAGCUCAAGUUGAAACUCCGGAGGUUGUGGAGAUCAAGAAAGAUGAAGAAGCUCCGGUUGAAACUCCGGUGGUUGUGGAGGAUGAGAGCAAAACAGAGGAAGUUGUAGAGGCGAAGAAAGAGGAAGAAGUAGAAGAAAAG
RNAcentral lists this long non-coding RNA (305 nucleotides) under Arabidopsis thaliana (thale cress). RNAcentral's name for it is "long non-coding RNA (ATHA_LNC000605)". Lineage: Eukaryota; Viridiplantae; Streptophyta; Magnoliopsida; Brassicales; Brassicaceae. The record is from RNAcentral.